AAAAUAAUCAUGUCAAUUUGUAAUGAUUUCAUUGCUCAACACUGAAGUCAAUGUAUGGGAAUUCUCGAGGAUGAGUGCAAUGUGGAGGAUAUGACUUGACUCUACCAUGGCAAGGGGUAAGAGGAAAGGAUGAACUUGAUCGUCCCUGGAAAUGCAGAACAACCCAGGAGAUCUCCCUCUUCAAAGCGAGCGGGUGGAAGAUGCUUGCAAAAGAGCCCUGAAAACAGAACAACUUGAUUGAAGGCAGUUUGUGCGACAAUUGUGUCAUGGAAUACCUGACAUUUCUUUAUCUUUAUCUUAUUUCCUUUUGGAUAAUGCCAAUAAAUACUAGCUAUGCCAA
Molecule: long non-coding RNA, 340 nt
Organism: Athene cunicularia (burrowing owl)
Lineage: Eukaryota; Metazoa; Chordata; Aves; Strigiformes; Strigidae
Exons: 2
Source: RefSeq, a predicted model, not a curated record